GUCACUGGCAGGCAGGGCUUUUGUCACCGCGGAAGGCCAAAUGUGCUUCUGAAGUGAGUUCAUCACAUAAAAGUAGCAUCUGGAGAGCCAUUGACAUAAUGUUGAGAGAAGCAAACAGCCUGGCUCCUGGGGCCCUGCCCCUGCAGCGAGUGUGUCACCAAGAGCUGCAGCAUUUCCUGUAGGCUCAUGAGCUGAGCGCCUCUCAAAGCAGCCAUGCUCCCAGGUCAAAACAAAUCAAGUUUUAACCGGGGAAAGAAAAAGCUGCCAUCUUCAAGACCCAGCUCAAAUAUCACGUGCUUGUGAAGCAUUCCCCAUGCCUUGCAAGGAUAAUGCAGCCGUCCCCUCCUCAGG
RNAcentral lists this long non-coding RNA (351 nucleotides) under Homo sapiens (human). RNAcentral describes it as "HSALNT0227547". The record is from RNAcentral. Lineage: Eukaryota; Metazoa; Chordata; Mammalia; Primates; Hominidae.